RNAcentral lists this ribosomal RNA (253 nucleotides) under uncultured bacterium. RNAcentral's name for it is "partial 16S ribosomal RNA". It matches the Rfam family "Bacterial small subunit ribosomal RNA", at positions 524 to 776 of the family's 1533-position model. The record is from RNAcentral.
UACGUAGGUGGCAAGCGUUGUCCGGAUUUACUGGGUGUAAAGGGCGUGUAGCCGGGCUUACAAGUCAGAUGUGAAAUCCGGGGGCUCAACCCCCGAACUGCAUUUGAAGCUGUAGGUCUUGAGUAUCGGAGAGGCAGGCGGAAUUCCUAGUGUAGCGGUGAAAUGCGUAGAUAUUAGGAGGAACACCAGUGGCGAAGGCGGCCUGCUGGACGACAACUGACGGUGAGGCGCGAAAGCGUGGGGAGCAAACAGG